Lathyrus oleraceus (garden pea) is the source of this 1297-nucleotide long non-coding RNA. RefSeq lists it as uncharacterized. The record is from RefSeq and is a predicted model, not a curated record. The transcript has 2 exons. NCBI's taxonomy places the organism in Eukaryota, Viridiplantae, Streptophyta, Magnoliopsida, Fabales, Fabaceae.
AUAAUAGGGGGUGAAGGCCCAUUGAGGCACUGUAUGAACAGUAUCAACCCGUUUGGGCUUCGAGCCCAAACAUCUGGAACCUCAAGAUACACACGCGAGGAAGCGUACAGGUUGAAAUCCAUGAAGCGUUCACCAAACGCGCUUUUCAUAAAAGCUACACGGGCAAAUGAGGCGUUUACAGUUGAAAAAGUGCUUAAAAAAAGCUCAACGCGAACAUUGCGUUCGUCAUCACCAUCAUAUUCACCAACCAACAUCGCCGUUCGCGGACGCUUCACCAUCUCGGAUCGUUCAACUGUCCAACGUGAUUCACGUCCAUCCAUCACCACCAAUUAACGACUCAACUUCACGAAAUCAACAACAACAACUAUCCUAAUCUACGGGGCCGAAUCGCAACGGCAUCACCGAAUUGCUUGAGCAUGACGACUAAGGAAGAACAACAUCUUACCAGCAAUGACGACGGGGUGGAGGAUAGGAGCUCAGGUGAUCGCCACUCGAUCCACUUCUCCACUCGGAUUCACCUGUUCUGUUCUCCUUGUAUCGCGCUUCCGUUACGGAUUGAGGGAGUGGUGAUGUGGUGGUUCAAAGGAAUUAAGUCGAUGAUGGACGAAGGCGACGAUAACGUUCGAUGCCCGGUGGUGAUUCCGACGGAGAGUCAGUUAUAGUUGUUAGAAAAUUGAAGUAUGUGGAAGAUCCGAGAAGAAGAAGAAUCAAAGUUCUUGAGAGGAAAAUGGAAAACAAGAGAGCGAAAAGAAAAGGAUUUCUCGCCGAAAUUGGAGAGAGGAAGAAGAAGAUUCUAGAAUACGAGAUUCCCCCCAAAUCACUACGAAAGCCAUGUACUUAUAUUUCUUUUUUUCCACAUUUUCAAUUCCUAUUUCAUUGUCGUUCAUGCUUUGGUGUUGUCGUUUAUGAUUUCGUUUUCAGUUUUUCUUUGGGUGUAGUUUGGCUUCGAGCUGAGUUUUUGCAGGUUAUUUGCACGUGGCGUGGCUUAUUGUUAUGAUGUUGCUGCCCUUUACAGCUUGGAUUUGGCCUUCCGCGCGGUAGCUUCUCAUGACUUUGGAGCUGGUAUUUUUGGUGGCUACCUGCGUUUCAAAUUGUGAUGGAAGCUGGCUUUGCAGUUGGCUUAAUGUGUUUGGCAUUUUCUUCAUGUUGUUUUGGUUACGUGAAGCUUGUACUUGAUAUAUAUUGCAGCUUUGUACUGCGUUUGCUUUUGUCUUCCAAUUCUACUUUUGAUUUUUUUUUAUUUCUUAUUGUUUAAUGGCUAAUGAUGACUUAAUGAAAAAUGGUUAUGGAAUUAAAA